This 802-nucleotide unclassified non-coding RNA is filed under the name Hevea brasiliensis (rubber tree). Lineage: Eukaryota; Viridiplantae; Streptophyta; Magnoliopsida; Malpighiales; Euphorbiaceae. The record is from RNAcentral.
GUUUAGUUAGAGUUAAGCAUUUAUGAGAUUUUUAAUGUUCAUAAAUAUAGAUUCUGCUUAAGAAGCUCUCUGGUAACAGGGAUGUAUAGUCAUCAAGACUUUGCUUUUCGCUUAGAAUGUAUACCUUUGUUAAGUUGGAAAAGUUGUUCAUUACUAAAAUUAUAACUGCUGAUUUUGAAGUGUUAGCCUGGUAGGACUAAGAGGGAGCGGACCACAUACCAAGUUAAUAUAAUUUAUACUGGAAAAGCUACCUUGGCAAAUGCUUUUAGAGUGUCUACUUUGCUUUGGUUAUUCUAUUGGUAGUUGGAGACACAACUUUUCUGUAACUGAUAAAAGACAUGAUAGUUGUGUUGCUACUUGCUAGGAAUAAGACAUCAAGUAUCCCCUUCUUUUAAGUGUUUGGCGUUCUGUGUCCUGGAAUGAGGGGAAUGGGAAUGAGAAACUAAGAAUAAAAGAUUAUCUUUUUCCUUGUUUUUGAGGAAUGGGAAUAAAACAACAAUCAUAUCCUCAUUCUCCUGUUUCUAGUAAUCAAACCGGCUUGUUAUAUUGUCUUAUUAAGGAUCCAUUUGGUUCAGCAGUUGAGAUCAACAUUUGGCAGUUGAGGAUCCAACUGCUGAACUCGAGUUAUUUAGCAGUUUCUUUUUUCAUGAGUAAAUAGUAAGGAUUAAAUUCUCAACAUCUAUUUAGAAUUAUUAUCAGUUUUGUGAGAUUCCAGCAAAGCACCAUUUCAUUUACAAGGUUUCGUUUAGAGAUUAAUUGGAAAUUAUUGGUUUGUUUAAGGUCUGGCAUUUCACCCGCUCGA